AUAACCUGCCUCAUACAGGGGGAUAACAGUUAGAAAUGACUGCUAAUACCGCAUAAGCGCACAGAGAUGCAUGUCUCGGUGUGAAAGGCUGAGGCGGUAUGAGAUGGAUCCGCGUCUGAUUAGCUGGUUGGCGGGGUAGAGGCCCACCAAGGCGACGAUCAGUAGCCGACCUGAGAGGGUGGCCGGCCACAUUGGGACUGAGACACGGCCCAAACUCCUACGGGAGGCAGCAG
Molecule: ribosomal RNA, 233 nt
Filed under: uncultured bacterium
Lineage: Bacteria
Description: partial 16S ribosomal RNA
Rfam family: Bacterial small subunit ribosomal RNA
Source: RNAcentral